GACGAACGCUGGCGGCGCGCCUAACACAUGCAAGUCGAGCGAAUGAAGUUCCUUCGGGAACGGAUUUAGCGGCGGACGGGUGAGUAACACGUGGGCAACCUGCCUCAUAGAGAGGAAUAGCCUUCCGAAAGGGAGAUUAAUACCGCAUAAGAUAGUAGUACCGCAUGGUACAGCAAUUAAAGGAGCAAUCCGCUAUGAGAUGGGCCCGCGGCGCAUUAGCUAGUUGGUGAGGUAACGGCUCACCAAGGCGACGAUGCGUAGCCGACCUGAGAGGGUGCUCGGCCACAUGGGGAGUGAGACACGGCCCAGACGCCUAGGGGGGGCAGCGGUGGGGAAUAUUGCACAAUGGGGGAAACCCUGAUGCAGCAACGCCGGGUGGGUGAUGACGGCCUUCGGGUUGUAAAGCUCUGUCUUCAGGGACGAUAAUGACGGUACCUGAGGAGGAAGCCACGGCUAACUACGUGCCAGCCGCCGCGGUAA
RNAcentral lists this ribosomal RNA (480 nucleotides) under uncultured bacterium. RNAcentral's name for it is "partial 16S ribosomal RNA". It matches the Rfam family "Bacterial small subunit ribosomal RNA", at positions 28 to 523 of the family's 1533-position model. The record is from RNAcentral.